This 392-nucleotide ribosomal RNA is filed under the name uncultured eukaryote. RNAcentral describes it as "partial 18S ribosomal RNA". It matches the Rfam family "Eukaryotic small subunit ribosomal RNA", at positions 592 to 976 of the family's 1831-position model. The record is from RNAcentral.
CAAUAGCGUAUAUUAAAGUUGUUGCAGUUAAAAAGCUCGUAGUUGGAUUUCGGAGUGUCGGGGCACGGACGCCGAGAGGCGUGGUGUGUGACCGAUGCUCUUCCUUCCAGGGAGGCGUUCUGUGCUUAACCGCACGGGGCGUGGACUUGGAUUGUUUACUUUGAGAAAAUUAUGGUGUUCAAAGCAGGCUAGCGCCUUGAGUAUAUUAGCAUGGAAUAAUGGAAUAGGACAUCGGCUCGCAAGAGUAGAUCCUAUUUUGUUGGUUUCUAGGACCGAUGUAAUGAUUAAUAGGGAUAGUUGGGGGCAUUAAUAUUUAAUUGUCAGAGGUGAAAUUCUUGGAUUUAUUAAAGAUUAACUUCUGCGAAAGCAUUUGCCAAGGAUGUUUNCAUUAA